Molecule: ribosomal RNA, 440 nt
Filed under: uncultured bacterium
Lineage: Bacteria
Description: partial 16S ribosomal RNA
Rfam family: Bacterial small subunit ribosomal RNA
Source: RNAcentral
CCUACGGGAGGCAGCAGUGGGGAAUAUUGCACAAUGGGGGAAACCCUGAUGCAGCGACGCCGCGUGAGUGAAGAAGUAUUUCGGUAUGUAAAGCUCUAUCAGCAGGGAAGAAAAUGACGGUACCUGAUUAAGAAGCCCCGGCUAACUACGUGCCAGCAGCCGCGGUAAGACGUAGGGGGCAAGCGUUAUCCGGAUUUACUGGGUGUAAAGGGAGCGUAGACGGCAGCACAAGUCUGGAGUGAAAUGCCGGGGCUUAACCCCGGAACUGCUUUGGAAACUGUGCAGAUAGAGUGCAGGAGAGGUAAGUGGAAUUACUAGUGUAGCGGUGAAAUGCGUAGAUAUUAGGAGGAACACCAGUGGCGAAGGCGGCUUACUGGACUGUAACUGACGUUGAGGCUCGAAAGCGUGGGGAGCAAACAGGAUUAGAUACCCCAGUAGUC